RNAcentral lists this transfer RNA (66 nucleotides) under Abacion magnum. Its description in RNAcentral is "tRNA-Asn". The record is from RNAcentral. Lineage: Eukaryota; Metazoa; Arthropoda; Diplopoda; Callipodida; Callipodidae.
UUAAUAGAAGCCAAAGUUUUAGGCACUUCACUGUUAAUGAAUUAUUGGACUUAUAUCCCUAUUAAA